GUCCAGACUCCUACGGGAGGCAGCAGUGGGGAAUAUUGCACAAUGGGGGAAACCCUGAUGCAGCGACGCCGCGUGAGCGAUGAAGUAUUUCGGUAUGUAAAGCUCUAUCAGCAGGGAAGAAGAUGACGGUACCUGACUAAGAAGCCCCGGCUAACUACGUGCCAGCAGCCGCGGUAAUACGUAGGGGGCAAGCGUUAUCCGGAUUUACUGGGUGUAAAGGGAGCGUAGACGGCGAUGCAAGCCAGAUGUGAAAGCCCGGGGCUCAACCCCGGGACUGCAUUUGGAACUGUGUGGCUGGAGUGUCGGAGAGGCAGGCGGAAUUCCUAGUGUAGCGGUGAAAUGCGUAGAUAUUAGGAGGAACACCAGUGGCGAAGGCGGCCUGCUGGACGAUGACUGACGUUGAGGCUCGAAAGCGUGGGGAGCAAACAGGAUUAGAUACCCCGGUAAUA
RNAcentral lists this ribosomal RNA (449 nucleotides) under uncultured bacterium. RNAcentral's name for it is "bacterial SSU rRNA". It matches the Rfam family "Bacterial small subunit ribosomal RNA", at positions 329 to 795 of the family's 1533-position model. The record is from RNAcentral.